GGGCUCCGCGGGCGGGAGAGGAGGUGGCUUGGCUUGGCCGGCGGUGCGUGUGUGGCGUGGGGCUGCCGGAGCCGUGACUAACGCUGGGAUCCAGAGGCGUUACCGCAGCCACAUUCCUCCUGCAGCCGGGCAGGCCGGCGCUGACACUGCACGUAGUUCUCGGCAUUCAGGCACCACCGCAUGGGGCACGCGAAGUUACACCUGGCUACGAAGAUGGUUAAGGGCCUAGAGCACCUUUCCUAUGAAGAGAGACUGAGAGAGCUGGGUCUGUUCAGCCUGGAGAAGAGAAGCCUGAGAGGGGAUCUCAUCAGUGUUUAUAAAUAUCUCAAGGGUGGGUGUCAAGAGGAUGGGACCAGACUCCUUUCAGUGGUGCCCAAUGAUAGGAUGAGGGGCAAUGGGCACAGACUGAAGCACAGAAGGUUCUGUCUGAGUGCGAGGAAAAACUACUUUGAGAGUGCCAGAGCACUGGCACAGGCUGCCCCAGAGAGGAUGUGGAGUUUCCUUCUCUGGAGACGUUCAGAACCUGCCUGGACACAUUCCUGUGCAAUCUGCUCUGGGUGAACCUGCUUUAGCAGGUGGGUUGGACUAGAUGAUCUCCAGAGGUCCCUUCUAACCCCAACCAUUCUGUGAUUCUGUCUUCUACUUUGGCUCAUAAGGUGUAUGGUAUGUCCUCAUGCCAUUCAAGACUUGUGGAAAGUGUGCUCUCUCCUGAAAACAGCUUUAAUCUAUCUGUGAUCUCAAUGAGCUAAGGCAACCUUGAGAAACAGGAACCUCCAAGCUUCGUUGUGUGUAAAGUUCUGCACCUGGGACCAUGGGUUGUGCAUCAGUGAUGGGCUGAAUAAAAGCCCUGCUUCAAAGGAAUUGGGGGAUACCAGGCUGAUGAUGAGUCAACAAUGUGCUCUCUCCAGAAAAAGGAUGACCAGCAUAUCAAGGGUAGUGAACCUCUGCUCAGUGCUGAUGAGGCUGGAUCUAGAAUAUUGUGACCAGAAUGUGAUGUUAUGCACUUUCUCAGUUCCAGAUCCCAGCAGAUAACUACUAACGUGGUCAGGCACCCAAGUAUGUGACUUACAAGAAGAAGAUGGGAGGAGCUGGGCUUGUUUAAACUGAUGAAUAGGAAACUAAGGUGUAAUAUAGUAACAACUCACAACUACCUUAAGAGCAGUUACAAAGGCAAUGGAACUGAACUCUUCUUAGUAGUGCAAGACUAGCACGGGUCAGUGGCAACAAAGUGCAGCUUGGGAGUUUCACACUGGACAAUAGGAAAAAACCUGUCACUGAGAGAGUAGCACAGUACUGGCAUGGGUUGUCCAGCAGCACUCUUUGUAUGGGAUUUUCAAGACUUAGCCAUGACUGACCUGAUCCAGUAUUGGUGAUCCUUCUGCUUUGAGCAAGAAGAUGGACUACAGACCUCCAGCCAACAAUUCCAUUUAAUUCAAACAGGUCCUCAGUUCCAGUGCAUAACUAAACUAUUUGACUUCACUCAGUGUCAGGGAGUUAAAACUGCCACUUGGCAGCAACAGACAGCAGAGUUUCUGUGGAGGUGGGAAAAGACAAAAUGUACCUGUUCGCAGAAAGUGUAUCAAGCUAGGAAGAAAUGAGCCACUAAAAUGGAAGGAAGCUUAAAACUCAUCAAGGUCAGGUUGAUCAGGAUCCAGCAUAAUAUCUACUGUCUACAGAAUCUGAGCUUUGCCAGAGCUGCAACAUCUUAUUUCAUUAAUCAGCAAUAUUUGUAUAUUGAAUACUACAGGAUUAUAAGAAAAUGUUAGAAAUUUUGUAGGUCUGAUCCUGCCUUCACCAGAAAUAAUAUAAAAACUGUUUUAUCUUAAACAAGACGGAUAUAACUGUUUGCUUUACUUUAGGGCUUCCUUCAAUUUUGCACCAUUUCAUUUUUUUUAACUUCGCAUAUUGUUACAUUCCCUUCAGAGUUUAUCAUCAUGGAUUUUUUCAUACUAUGUCCAAGUGAAUGAGAAGGCUGCUUUCCAGUCUUUAAUGUGGGUUUUUUGGUGGUUGGUUGUUUGGUUUGGGGUCUUUUGUGUCUUGAUACCAAGGGAAUAUACUACCUGCAGAAGGGUGUGGGAGGAGGGGUACAAGUGUGGAUGACUGGACCAGAUGGAAUGGGUGAAACCUGAUGCAGACUGAUCCCUAUCAGGUACUAAAACAGUCUCCAGACCAGUUUAACCUCCAAGCCACACUGGCAAAAUCAAGUUCUUCUUUGCCAGCUGAGAUCACAGGAGUGAUUUAGCAUUUACUGAAGCAUUCAUAGUUGUUUGAGUGGGACCCUGGUGAGAAACAGCCAUCUCACCUAACAGCCACCUCUCUAUACAGAACAUCUCAAAUGGUGGGACAUUCAGGGGCCUAAACAAUUGUGCUGUCAAUGAUUGGCUCAAGUUCAUCAAGCCCUGUCACAUCACAUGACAAGGCAAUACUCCCAAAUUAUGUACUGUGGUGAUUUAUCAUUAAUAUUGGAGGAAAAAACUCUGGGUACCACAGCUUCUCUCUAGUAUGUGACCUCUGCUGUAGAGGUGGAGGAGUUGGGAGGAACCAGUGAUAAAGAACUGGAACUGUGCAAUGUUCUGGACAAAAGAGUUGGACUCCUGAGCUCCUGAAAAUUAGCCAUACCUGUUCCACUUAUAAAUCUGAUCCUCCAGUUACAAGGGAGACUGUUUUUUUCAUACUGGCAGGAAUGAAUGUCCCAUUGCUAUUUACUAUGGGGCAUCUUUCAUUUGUCUCUCUUUUAUCAUGCAUUGUCUAUUCUGUUUUCCCCUUUUAAUAAUUCCUGCCUUUGGGUUGUUUUUUUCCCUGCCCAUCCAGAUAGAUGAAAGAUGCUCAUCCUCUUAAUACCUCUGUAUUAAUAGAGCAAGCAUGGCUAGGGCAUGUCUUCCAAUGCAGCCCUUUGAUCAGCCGCAGUGUUUAAUUGUUGGCAUGCUUCUUGGCACAGUUCGUCCCAUAACCACCACCAGUCUUCAGGACAAUGAUCAGGCAUGGUUCAUAAACCAGGCACAACUCCCCACAGGCAAAAUGGACAAGGACAUUUUGUUUGAGUGUUUUAGACGUGAGCUGUGCCUUUACCCUUCAAGCUCUGGCCCCUUCCAGGGGGCAACAUCCCAUUUUAGUUAUUGGCUUGAUGUUGCAGUUGAUGAUAAUAAGCAAGACUCGCACUGAUUUCAGUGAUGCUAAAGUUGCAAAUUACCGAUUUCAUGGCAUAGCCUCCUAACAAGAGGAGGCACUGAUUUAAGUAACAAAGAUGAGUAAAGUGAACACUGCUGGGGAAAAACAAGCUCUUCUCAAACUCUACAAACAAACGGACACAAAAAAGCAGAAGUAUUCCAAGUACAGUUUCAGUAGAAGCCUAUUUGCAGAAAGGUAAUUGGAAUUUAAAGCCACUCCUACAGCAUUAAUUAUAAUGCUGAUUUCUAUCAGCAACAUUCUGGCCACUUAUCUGGCAAGGAAUGUAGAAUAUAAAUCCCCUUUUUAUUACAAAGUGAUUUAUACAUAUCCUCUUAUCCCUUGUCUUUUUCACAGCUUACUACAGUGACCUUUGUAAACCUUAUUUUUUUUCCUGAUAUCUAAAUAAAAAUGUACUAGAAAAGUGA
Molecule: long non-coding RNA, 3593 nt
Organism: Columba livia (rock pigeon)
Lineage: Eukaryota; Metazoa; Chordata; Aves; Columbiformes; Columbidae
Exons: 2
Source: RefSeq, a predicted model, not a curated record